Molecule: ribosomal RNA, 287 nt
Filed under: uncultured bacterium
Lineage: Bacteria
Description: partial 16S ribosomal RNA
Rfam family: Bacterial small subunit ribosomal RNA
Source: RNAcentral
GUGGAUUAGAUACCCUGGUAGUCCAUGCCGUAAACGUUGGGCGCUAGGUGUGGGACUCAUUCCACGAGUUCCGUGCCGCAGCUAACGCAUUAAGCGCCCCGCCUGGGGAGUACGGCCGCAAGGCUAAAACUCAAAGGAAUUGACGGGGGCCCGCACAAGCGGCGGAGCAUGUGGAUUAAUUCGAUGCAACGCGAAGAACCUUACCAAGGCUUGACAUAUACCGGAAACAUCUGGAGACAGGUGCCCCGCAAGGUCGGUAUACAGGUGGUGCACGGUCGUCGUCAACU